This 253-nucleotide ribosomal RNA is filed under the name uncultured bacterium. RNAcentral's name for it is "partial 16S ribosomal RNA". It matches the Rfam family "Bacterial small subunit ribosomal RNA", at positions 524 to 776 of the family's 1533-position model. The record is from RNAcentral.
UACGAAGGGGGCUAGCGUUGCUCGGAAUCACUGGGCGUAAAGCGCGCGUAGGCGGUUCGUUAAGUCGGAUGUGAAAAUCCGGGGCUCAACCCCGGACCUGCAUCCGAUACUGGCGGACUGGAGGCAGGCAGGGGAGAUCGGAAUUCCUGGUGUAGCGGUGAAAUGCGCAGAUAUCAGGAGGAACACCGGUGGCGAAGGCGGAUCUCUGGGCCUGUCCUGACGCUCAGGCGCGAAAGCUAGGGGAGCAAACAGG